This 4502-nucleotide long non-coding RNA is filed under the name Homo sapiens (human). Its description in RNAcentral is "HSALNT0278111". The record is from RNAcentral. Lineage: Eukaryota; Metazoa; Chordata; Mammalia; Primates; Hominidae.
GUGAGCCACCGCGCCUGGCUGCUAAGUGAUUUGUAAGCUAAGACAUACUCUUAAAUUCCUUCAAAGCAAGGGAAGCAGUGACUGUUUUAAGAACAAAUACUGUCUUUGAAAUUUGAAAUACAGGAUAGACAGGGGCUCCUUAAACCUAGUAAUCCUUUUGUCUCUUUUGGUCCAUCUCAACCACAAACCAAGCAAACAUGCACAUGCUUGUCAAAAACAAGUCAAUUAUUUUGAAAAUCAAUUAAAUUAUUCAUACCCUUUGAAAUUUCAAAGGAAAGUCGAGAGAGAGAGAGAGAGAGAGAGAGAGAGAGUCAGUUAGAAGUCACGGGUAUUGAAGUGCUUAUUAGUUAAAUCGGGUUCUUUGUCUCUCUACUUUGCUAAUGGCUGAUCUUUUGACUUUUCUGAUGAUUAGCCCUGGCUAUCAAGUGAGAUUCCAUGGGGCUUGGUUUGUUCAUACUCUUCUGAGUGACAUUUUCCCCAUUCUAAUAGCCUAAAAGCAUAAUGAGGUAAAUGAAUCACAAGUGAUAAUGAGUUUUUUAAAAAUCUAGGCAGGAACAAAACUGGCUCAUUACCAUGAAGAAGUAGCAUUCUGAUGAGGACAGGAAAUCACUGAGGAACAGGAGAGAAUGCAUAAACUACCACUUAUGUGUAUUGCUAAUGAUAUGCCAGACACAAUUCUAAACACUUACAUGACGGUCUCAUUUAAUACCAAUGCAAAAAUUCUACAGAUGAAGAAAUGGGGACUCAGAGAGAUUAAGUAGUUUGCUUAAGGUCACACAACUAGGAAAUGACCAAAUUGGCAUUUAAAUGAGACAGGCUGGCUGAAGCCUGGACUGCCUCUGCCUUUUUUUUUUUUUUUUUUUUUUUUGAAUCAGGGUCUCACUCUGUCACCCAGGUGAUCACGGCUCACUGCAGGCUCGAACUCCCAGGCUCAGGUGAUCCUCCCACUUUGGCCUCCCAAGUAGCUGGGACUACAGGAGGGCCACAAUGCCUGGCUAAUUUUUUUUUUUUUUUUUGAGAUGGGGUUUUGCUAUGUUGCCCGGUCUGGUCUCGAACUCCUGGGGUCAAGUGAUCUGUCCACCUCGGCCUCCCAAAUUGCUAGGAUUACAGACAUGAGCCACCGUGUGCAGCCUGCCUCUGUCCUUCUGAAAAAAAGAUGGUACAGUCAAGAUGACCUAGCUGUAACCUGGCUACUAGAGGACCAAGGAGAAAAAUAAACUUCUACCACGCUUUCGAAAACAAGCACUCAAACUCAGGAGAUACUUGAUUGAAGUUGAAAGAGUGGUGCAUUCCCCAAGGCAGUACCCUCAUGAAUGGGAUUAGUGUCCUUUAAUAAAAGAGACCCAAGAGAGGUCCCUUGCUCCUUCCAGCAUGUGAGAUUACAGCAAAAAGAUGCUGUCUAUGAACCAGAAAGUGGGCCCUCACCAGACACUGAAUCUGUCGGCACCUUGAUCUUGGAUUUCCCAGCUUCCAGAAGUGGGAGAAAUAAAUUUCUCUUGUAAAUAAGAUAAACAGUUUAUGAUAUUUUAUUAUAGCAGCCCCAAGGGACUAAGACAGAAAUCCAGUUGUACACCAGAUGGUUGUAACACGUUCAGUGGAAUGAAAACCUUGUGUCUUGGCAGGGUGCAGUGGCUCAUGCCUGUAAUCCCAACGCUUUGGGAGGCUGAGGUGGGAGGGUCACUUGAGGCCAGGUGUUCAAGACCAGCCUGGGCAACAUAAGGAGAUGUCCAGAUAGCCGGCAAAACAGUGUUCCUGGGUAGGCCUGUGAUGGUGUUUCCAGAAGAAAUUAGUGCUGUGAGUCGGUAGAGUGAGUAAAAAAGAGUCUCUUAAAAAAAAUGUUGGCCGGGCACGGGGCUCACGCCUGUAAUCCUAGCACUUUACAAGGCUAAGGCAAGUGGAUCACUUGAGGUCAGGAGUUCGAGACCAGCCUGGCCAACAUGGUGAAACCCCAUCUCUACUAAAAAAUACAAAAAUUAGCUAGGAAUGGUGGUGUGUGCCUGUAGUCCCAGCUGCUCAGGAGGCUGAGGCAUGAGAAUCACUUGAACUCAGGAGGUGGAGGUUGCAGUGAGCCGAGAUCGUGCCACUGCACUCCAGCCUGGGUGUGGUGGUAUGCACCUGUAGUCCCAGCUACUCAGGAGGCUGAGGCAGGAAGAUCGCCUGAGCCCAGGAGAUUGAGGCUGCAGCACUCCAGCCUGGGCAACAGAGCAAGAUCUGGUUUCCAAAAAACCCAAAAAAACCUUGUGUCUUCAUGUGGAGAUUAAGUAUGGUUUAAGGAGAUGUGUAUGGAUGACAAGUUCAAAAAGGAUGGUCGUGUGAUGGUUAAUUUUAUGUGUCAGUUUGACUGAGCUAAGGGAUGUCCAGAUAGCUGGCAAAACAGUGUUCCUGGGUAGUCCUGUGAUGAUGUUUCCAGAACAAAUUAGCAUUGUGAGUUGGUAGAUUGAGUGAAAAAGAUCCUCCCAGGUGGAUCGCGAGGUCAGGAGAUCGAGACCAUCCUGGCUAACACGGUGAAACCCCAUCUCUACUAAAAAUACAAAAAAUUAGCUGGGCAUGGUGGCGGGUGCCUGUAGUCCCAGCUACUCAGGGGGCUGAGGCAGAAGAACGGCGUGAACCCGGGAGGCAGAGCUUGCAGUGAGCGGAGAUUGCACCACUGCACUCCAGCCUGGGCGAGAGAGUGAGACUCUGUCUCAGAAAAAAAAAAAAAAAUUAGAAAAAGAUCCUCCCUGUCAGUGGGUAUCAUCCACUGUUGAGUGGACAAAAGGUGGAAGAGGGGCGAAUCUGCUCUUUCUGGGCUGACAUCCAUUUUCUCUUGCCCUUGGAGGUCAGUGCUCCUAGCUCUUGCUUUUGGGCUUAGACUGGGACUUACAUCAUUGUGCCUCUGGUCCUCAGUCUUCAGAUUCAGACUGAAUUAUACCACCAGCUUUCCUGGUUUUUCAGCUUGCAGAUGGCAGAUCCUGGGACUUCUUGGCCUCCAUAACUGCAUGAGCCAAUUCCCAUAAUAAAUCUACACUUGAUCUUAGCCACAAGGCCGAGAAACGAUCAAUUCCUAUAAUAAAUCUCUCUUAUAAUAUCCUGUUGGUUCUGUUUCUCUGGAGAACCCUGACUAAUAUACCUUUUUUUUUUUUUUUUUUUUUUUUUUGAGACAGUCUUGCUCUGUUGCCCGGGCUAGAGCACAGUGGUGCCAUCACAGCUCACUGCAACCUCCAUCUCCCAGGUUCAAAUGAUUCUCCUGCCUCAGCGUCCCGAGUAGCUGGGAUUACAGGCACCUGCCACUAUGCCUGGCUAAUUUUUGUAUUUUUAGUACAAAUGGGGUUUCAUCAUGUUGGCCAGGCUGAUCUCGAACCCCUGACCUCAAGUGACCUGCCCGCCUCAGCCUCCCAAAAUGCUGCAAUUACAGGCAUGAGCCACCGCGCCCGGCCCUAAUACACCUUUUAACCUAAAAUUUCAGGACUUUCUUUACUUAGAAAAUUAUAUACACAUAUAUAGCUGUGAUUGUGCCACUGCAAUCCAGCCUGGGCGACAGAGUGAGCCCUUGUCUCAAAAGAAAAAAAAAGUUUGGUAUAUAAUCUUCCAAUCCCUUUCUAUGAAUUUAAAUGUUUAUUUUCUACCUAGUAAUCUUAUUUUUUUUAAUUCUUUAUUUCCUAGAUAAUGUUCAUUGAACCUUUUUGUAUUGAGAAAUUUUAAGGCACAUUUAAAAAAUAUAUUCUAACCAGGCACCGUGGCUAUCUUAGCACUUUAGGAGGCUGAGGCGGGUGAUCAGUUGAGGUCAGGAGUUCAAGACCGGCCUGAUGGUGAAAACCCUGUCUCUACAAAAAAUACAAAAAUUAGCCGGGCACAGUGGUGUGACCCUGUAAUCCCAGAUACUGGGGAGGCUGAGGCAUGAAAAUUGCUUGAACAUGGGAGACAGAGGUUGCAGUGAGCCAAGAUUGCACCACUGCACUCCAGCCUGGGCGACAGAGUGAGGCUCUGUCUCCAAAAAUAAUAAGAAGAAAGAGAGAGAGAGAGAAACAAACAAACAAACAGAGGCAAAAUUAAUAUAAGUAGCAUUUUUUGUUGUGGUUGUUGUUUUCUUCCUGAGACAGAGUUUUGCUCUUACGCCCAGGCUGAAGUGCAAUGGCCAUGAUCUCCGCUCACCACAACCUCCGCCCCCAGGGUUCAAGCGAUUCUCCUGCCUGAGCUGGAGAUUACAGGCACCCACCACCACCACGCCCAGCUAAUGUUGUAGUUUUAGUAGAGACAGGGUUUGGCUAUGUUGGACAGGCUGGUCUCGAACUCCUGACCUCAGGCGAUCCACCCACCUCGGCCUCCCAAAGUGCUAGGAUUAUAGGCCUGAGCCACUGCACCCAGCCCCGUUUUUUUUGUUUGUUUGUUUGUUUUUUUUUUUUUUUUAUUUUUAUUUUUUAUUUUUUAUUUUUUAUUUUUAUUGAUCAUUCUUGGGUGUUUCUCGCAGAGGGGGAUUUGGCAGGGUCAUAGGACAAUAGUGGAGGGAAGGUCAGCAGAUAAAC